UUGCAUGGCGCGCUCCGUCCUCCAGUUUACGAUCGGCGUUUAGAUGAGUCGUGUCAACGAGUGUCGUUCGACCGGGUGCAUCGUCGAUCGCGAACUCGCGAAACGUGAAAGUGAAAGAGAGUUUUUUCCUCGCGCCGAUCGAUAUCAUGUCCUCCCGUAAAGAUUCGGCGAUGAUCAGACUCGUACGAACGAAAUGUGCACGCGACAAAAUGCGACGUGAGUCACAUUCGAAUGGGAGACGACGAGCGACGGCGGAUCGGAUGUGAUUCUUUUCCGCAGGGAUCAAGAUGAUACCGCGCGAAGUGACGUGCCGGCAUUAGACAACCGACUAAUAUACUUAAUUCGAAGGAAAGUGUGGUGACGACGAAUUGCGGCAGGGAGCGAGGAGACUCGAGUGGAACAAGUCGUGAAGAUACCUGCGAAGCAACAGGAAGCUCGCUAAAAGCUUUGCGAUGCGUAAAACGUAGGGUUGCGGCACGUCCUACUUUCAGUCGGACAGCCCUAGAAUUCGGCGUUUUUACAUCUGCGCCUAAACGUUUCUCCAUUUUUCGGACCAAGAGUUUUUGUCAAUCGCGCAGUGAAACUGAAAAAAGUGAUGAUUAACGUAAAUUCAAGCGUUACUAGAUCUCUCUCAUUUGACUGCUUCAUUCCAGUUACGCAGUCGUUUCCGUGCACGUACCGCUUUUCCACCCUUUAAAAUGCGACAACUCUAGUGAACCUUCGCGCCGCGAAGUGGUGCCGCGAUAACGAGCGCGACUCGUGAGUACGUGACGAUCUUUUCACGUGAGAAAUUUUCAACUAUGAUAAUCUCAUCCGCCAGAAUGUCGGCCGUCGAUGAACUAACGACCGUCGCGACGGAGAACAGCAGUAACACGACGGACUUUCCUGAUUAUGACAUGAACGAAUCACUCAGUCAUUUUGAGUGGUUAGAGCUGGCGCCAAUGCUGACCAUCUACAGCUUGACUUUUCUGCUCGGAUUAGCUGGUAACGUCGUUAUCAUCGCUUCCACCCUUUGUCCACGGCUCCGACCGCUACCAGCGACGCCAACCAACGUUUUCCUGGGGGGCCUUGCCACCGCCGACCUCGUGCUUAUCAUAUUCUGCAUACCUGUGAAGGUAGCGAAAUUGUUCUCCUACACGUGGACCAUGGGUCUCUUCUUAUGCAAAGCGGUGCACUACAUGCAGAGUGUGUCGGCUAUCUGCUCGGUCGUUACUCUCACCGCGAUGUCGAUUGAGAGGUAUUACGCGAUAGUGCAUCCGAUGAGAGCGCAGUAUACGUGUACGAUAAGCCAGGCUCGCAAGAUCGUGAUUAUGACUUGGAUCGCGGCGUUUCUCCUGGGAAUUCCAAUGCUGUUUACACAGACGCAUAAAAAGGUCGGACUGCGAAUCAUUGCCUACUGGUGCGUGCGUGAUUCUGAAGCCGGGCUACUUUGGCGGGCUCAUGAAGUCUACAUGCUCAUCCUGGUCCUUGUGCUGCCACUGACCGUCAUGGCAUUCUGCUAUACGACCAUCUGCUGGGAAAUCUGGCGUGUCAUGAAGCGCCGGUACCACAUGACGUCACGACACGCAUUAAAUCCAAACAAUGUGGAAUCUAUACCGAUGACGCAGAAAGGUAUGCCUAUGAGGCAAAAGGGAAAUGAACGCAGACCGCGUCGGGAUGACGGUGACGAUGAAUCACGAACUAUGAAACAGGUGGUGAAAAUGCUGGUAGCGGUCGUGGUGUUGUUCGCUGUUUGUUGGGGUCCAAUGCUCGUCGACAACGUGCUGACCGCUUAUGGCUACCUGCCUCGCCUAAAGGGCGGCACGCACAAGCACCUCAACACCGCGUUCCAGCUGAUGGCCUAUUUUAACAGCUGCAUAAACCCGAUAGUGUAUGGAUUCAUGUCGAAGCACUUCAGGGAGAGCUUCCUGUCGGCUGCCUGUGGUGGAUGGCGGAUCUGUUGUCCCAGAAGAGGCUACCGAACAUCUAUGACGAGGCACGCCAGCCUCAGCCAGACUAGGACCACCAGCGUGAGGUGGAUUCGAAACUCGUCCCGCGAGUCGAAGUCACGAAACUCGACCGAGCUGCAUCCCGUAGUCUACCCGUGAGACGCGCUCGCCGGGGCACAUAAGUCCCCAGUCGACGAUGAGACCUGGUCCUGAUACUGCCAGGGACCCCCGAAAGCCCGUAACACGAUCGCAACUGUCCGGCUAAGGUAGACGAAUGGAGUACGAUUCGAUUCGAGAUGGACUUGAUUCUUUCUUCACCCCGAGUCAGGUCAUCGAGGGAAGUUUCCGCGAGAUAGGAGACUUCCAACAGCGAAUGAGGCCGAGAGGGACCGCGAUUACAGGGUUUGCGGAGGUGGAACACCCCUGGGGCGUCCUUGCGACCUUUCGGCCCUCGCCAACCACGACGGCCGUGCAGAAGUGAAGCGACAUCAACAGUGUGACGGAAGUUCUCGCGAAUUGACAGCAACUCUCUGCGAUAGCGCGAGUAAAAUCGCUCGCUGCGACUGCUGCCAUAGUUAAUGCUGAUAAGUUCUUCCGCGGACUCACAGUCUAUUUAUCAUGAUCCCGUCGCAACUCGGCAGUAUUAUCGCUUCGCGUGUGCCGCACGUGAGAUAAUUGGACACUUGAUUAAUCGGGCGUUUGGACAAUUGGACGUUUUAACGUAUGGUCGAAGCCAACGUGGACGGGGAAUGGAUGGGGGUGAAAGUUGAUUCGCCUAAGCGUAAGGGCAAGCUGAACACCCACACGGUGUCCGUGCGGGGUAGCUUCAGAAAUGGCGAUUAUUAAUGCAUUAUCAACCCACAGUGUGUCACAAAGACACACCUGGUGCGAAUGCAUCCGUCUCUUCAAUUUCAAUUCGUGCGUCUUCUCAAUUUGUAACCUACUUAAGAAUUGAAUGGGAGCGAGAUAUAAAUAUGUAACGACGUAGAUAGAUAUAUACGACGUGUGUGUAUUGUAUAUGAUAUUUAUGUAAAAGAUCUAUGAGGAAAGAUACAUGUACAUGAUAAAUCCGGGAUUUAGAAGCAUUUUCUCACCGCGUUUGUUUCACUAGCCCAUGCACCACGAUGCACCACAAUGUCCGUCUGACCUUAAGAUUUUCCAGAUUUCGUAAUGCAUUCUACCUCGGUAAAAGUUCAAGCUCGACGGUGCACACUUUAGUUGGCUCCGAACGCAUCACACGACUUGACGUUCAAUAUUCAAUACUCACGGAAUGCCAAAUGCCGUUUUCGUGUUAUCCAAAGGGGAAAUUCGGAAUCCGAUAGUUAUGUAUGUUUAUCGAUAAAUACACUGUGGAAACGCGGACCAAAGUGCGCCGACUAAAGUGCUCGGAGGGAAGUCACGUCGACGACCAUUUACGAACAUUUCCAAAGUACUCGACGCUUUAUGUAUCGAACGAAUCGCGGUAUGUAUCGACGCGCAAUCAUGCGCCACUUGGGAAACACUUGCCCAAUAUUGCGCGCAAGCUUGCGCCCAAUAUCAGACUACGCAUUGAGAUUGCUGCCUGGUCUGACACGGGCUUUGCGGCAGAAACGGUAAACGCGAUCGGCGGAUAUGUGUCGAGCAAACCUGUGCAAGUUUAGAGGCGAUCGUCAGGUGAAGCUUCUACCAGAAUCACCCAUAUUUGUAUUCGCAGGCACGUGAUUGUCUCUGAAAUGGACAAGGUCGUAGCCGAGAGCCCGUGGCAAUAACGUAAAUUAUUACGGACAUUUGACGUAGCAUAUCAUUCGAAGCUCCGAGCCAUGCGCUUCACGAUAUUGUAAUAAUUAUUAGCUCCAUUAGGUAAUUGUUAGCUAGAUCAAUUAGAGCGCUGUAUCGCAGCGGGUCAAUAAUGGAAGGACCAACGGCUUCAAAUGAGCAUUCUCGGUUCGUUACUCCGGAGAACUCACGUUGCAUUUUCUCGUUUUUCUCUGCGCUUGCGUGCUUUCCACGAGCCUUAAUAUCAAAUAUCAGGCUAUGAUUGUAUAUUAGUGUUAAUAAUAAUAAUAAUAGUUAGUGAUAAUAAUAAUAAUAAUAACGUAUACUAUGAGACUUUUCUACUGUAUAAUAUAAUAUCCUACGCGGCCGCAUCUGCAUGGGAGAACGGCUCUCCUUUCGUAGCGGUUCUUCGUGUCAGUAAGCCGCAUUGUUCAAAAUACACACUGGGGAAACCAAGUCGCUAAUUCAUGUAUAAGAGCUACCUAAGAUUACCUAGGCACUUUAAAUUAUCUGACGGACGUGAUGGCCACGCGAGUUUGAUGAUGAUUCUGUGCCUGCGACGGGAAAACUGGCUGCGAGUGCCAUGAGAACUGUGCAAACAAGUUUCGGACAUCAUGGACGAAAGAUACUUAUAUGGCUAAACGCGCAGCCAUCAGCCUGUGACAGCACUUUUGGCACAUUAUCUCGCUGGCACAGUAUUAAAGUCAACGUUUGUGGAGCGUGUAGCUUUUAUCUCUCAUUGUAUCUACCUGGACAAAGGGAUAAUGCAAAGCGUUUUCAUUUAGAUAAUAUGCGAGAGAGAGAAUGGUUAUUUAUAUUUAAAAGCGUCUGUUAUGACUUACUUGGCUUUAAUCUCGUAACUGUAAGGAAUACAUUAAAAUGUUAUUAAAUAUAGUAUUAAACCAACUGUCUCUGCGAGAGUGAGACAGGGAGAGAAAGAAAGAGCUUUAAACUGAUUCUUCUGCUACGAUUAUUCUACAGUUAGUUGUCCUAGGCAUUGAUAUCUUUCCGAUUCUCUUUCUCGAAGAAUUAAUUAAAACUUUAUUAAUUCCAAUUUUUACACAUUGCUAUAUCCUAUCUUCAUGUAAUGUGUCAAUCGAAAUUUCUUUUAUUGAAUCGGCAAUGGAAAAAUAAUUUAAUUGUUAAACUUUUAUUGUUAAAUUAAAUUAUUAAAAUCGCAAUCAGAAUCGUAAUUCUAUUUUACGAUUAUCACAGAAAAGUAUUAAUAAUAUGUAUAAUAUGUUGUAUCGAUAGCAAUGACUAUCGGAUAAUUUUUUAUGAUAUGCAUGAAGCUAUUUUUGCAUCUCAACUUUCAAUUGCUGAGAAUCACAUGCGAUUAAUACACGAAAUUAAAAAUAUUUCUUGCAAUCGAGAGAGAAGAUCAGAAACACAAAGUCGUGAUUUUUAUUUUACUUAGUAGUGGAAAAAUUCAAUUCAGACUUACAAGUUUUUUGCGAAUUUUUCUAUAGUGCAAUAUAAUGCUGCAAUGUUUCUCUUAGAAUAUUACAUUAGAUUUUAAUUUCAAUUUUGGUGUGCGAAAGUCAAUAUUAAAGAAACAGAAUAUGUUUUUGCUUUAAUAUUUAAAUAACGUAUAAUGUAUAAUAUCACUAAAAAUUCGACAGCUUCAAUAUUGAUACUAUUGACUUAUGUUGUAUAAUUUGCAGUAAUUUAUUAUUGAAUUUUUUAUAAAAGCGUUAGCUAAAUAAAAUUUUGCUCGAUCUAGUCAUAAAACUCUAAUCUUGUAAAAUUGUUAUAUAACUUUCUAAAAAAACCUCUUUGAUUAUAAAUAAGCUCCGGAGACAAGAUUCAGAAGAAUAAAUGUAAAGCCAAUGAAUGCUUCACGAUCUUUGCACAUAUACAUAAUUAUACAAUAUAUCAAUUAAAAAGAGAAUAAAUGUAGCAAAGAAUUGUAUAUUUUGGAGAUAUGCAUGCGCAUACGCAUCCGCAAUAUGUAAGAUAAUUUAUUCUAGGUAAUGCAACAUAUAGCGAGUACAAACUGUAUGAUUUAUAUGAUCUAUACGAUCUGUACCUGUACGACAUAUGUAUUAUCAGUAUAUGAUCUCUACCCUCUCCUUCUUCCCCCCAAGAUAUCGCAAAUGGCUUUAAAUGUAUUUAAGUUACAUGCCAAUGAACUUUUCUUAGCGCGAGCAAUGUAGUUCAUGUUACCCGAAAGCGAGUAUUAGAUAAAUAAAUGAAAUAAACGCUAUGGAAAAUUA
Ooceraea biroi (clonal raider ant) is the source of this 5899-nucleotide RNA transcript. It is a transcript of the gene named QRFP-like peptide receptor, with no coding region annotated. NCBI's taxonomy places the organism in Eukaryota, Metazoa, Arthropoda, Insecta, Hymenoptera, Formicidae. The record is from RefSeq and is a predicted model, not a curated record.